CCGUGGUGCAUUGUAGUUGCAUUGCAUUGAAAGCAGACAUUGUAAUUGUGCAAUGCUUCUGCAGUGCAAGCAUGG
Molecule: microRNA precursor, 75 nt
Filed under: Strigamia maritima
Lineage: Eukaryota; Metazoa; Arthropoda; Chilopoda; Geophilomorpha; Linotaeniidae
Description: microRNA mir-33
Rfam family: mir-33 microRNA precursor family
Source: Rfam by way of RNAcentral